CCACUUGAGAAGGUGGGAUGAACACAAAUACUUGAAGAGCUCUAGCAGCUUUAGUCUCAACUUCUAGCUCGGGGGCUACAAGUGUAGCCUCAACUCCAGAAGUAGUCGCCACCUCAUCCUCGGUCUCCGCCUUCGGCUCGAGGGCUACAAAUGUAUCCACCACACCAGAAGUAGUCGUCGCAAUCGGCUCGACUACUGGCAGCUCAGGGGCUAGCACUACAGCGACAUUAAGCGAUUCAAU
Molecule: long non-coding RNA, 241 nt
Filed under: Setaria italica (foxtail millet)
Lineage: Eukaryota; Viridiplantae; Streptophyta; Magnoliopsida; Poales; Poaceae
Description: long non-coding RNA (SITA_LNC004449)
Source: RNAcentral